AAUAAGUGCAAUCAUGGGUAUCUGUGUCCAACGUUUGACCGUCCGUCUUAUUUGAAAAAUUUAUGAAAAAAAUAAAAAAAAUUAGUCAUACAUAAAGUACUAUUCAUGUUUUAUCUUCUAAUAACAAUAAAAAUAUUAAUCAUAAAAAAUUUUCAAAUAAGACGAACGGUCAAACGUUGUACUUAUUUUGGGACGGAGGGACA
Oryza nivara is the source of this 203-nucleotide non-coding RNA. NCBI's taxonomy places the organism in Eukaryota, Viridiplantae, Streptophyta, Magnoliopsida, Poales, Poaceae. The record is from Rfam.